RNAcentral lists this ribosomal RNA (206 nucleotides) under Paraclostridium benzoelyticum. RNAcentral's name for it is "partial 16S ribosomal RNA". It matches the Rfam family "Bacterial small subunit ribosomal RNA", at positions 1 to 216 of the family's 1533-position model. The record is from RNAcentral. Lineage: Bacteria; Bacillati; Bacillota; Clostridia; Peptostreptococcales; Peptostreptococcaceae.
UUAUAUUUGAGAGUUUGAUCCUGGCUCAGGAUGAACGCUGGCGGCGUGCCUAACACAUGCAAGUCGAGCGAUCUCUUCGGAGAGAGCGGCGGACGGGUGAGUAACGCGUGGGUAACCUGCCCUGUACACACGGAUAACAUACCGAAAGGUAUACUAAUACGGGAUAACAUAUAAAAGUCGCAUGGCUUUUGUAUCAAAGCUCCGGC